Paramuricea clavata is the source of this 1299-nucleotide non-coding RNA. The record is from the annotation of a GenBank genome assembly. Lineage: Eukaryota; Metazoa; Cnidaria; Anthozoa; Malacalcyonacea; Plexauridae.
UAAAGUAACAGGGGCUUGGCUUGAUUCUAGCUUGUAUUCUUUGUUAGAAACUAAUGAUUUAUUUAAAGAUAUAAUUAAAAGUCCUGAAAAAAUUUUUGACCAGGAAAACGCAUUAGAAAAUUAUAUUGAAUCGAAAUACUAUAGUGUUAAGAAAACCGGAACCCUAAUUGAGCGCUCUAGGAUUAAAAAUGGUUUUUCUAUUUUACACUGCAACAUGCGAAGAUUACCAAAAAAUAUAUUAUUAUUGGAAGAACUUUUGUGCUCAGUUAAAGAAACACCCAAGAUCAUAGCUGUCUCAGAAACAAAAUUAAAAGAAAAUAAUUUAUACAACAUAACCUUAGAAGGCUACACGUUUCUGGGGUCUAACUCGAAAACAAACGCUGGAGGUGUAGGUCUUUAUGUGGAUGAACAACUAGACUUUGUUCAAAGGAAGGGCUUAGAAAUAAUUUUGGAAGGUGUCGAAUCGUGCUGGAUUGAAAUUGAGAAUAAACAACAAAAAAACAUUGCAAUUGGCUGUAUCUAUAGACAUCCAAAUAAUGAUUGUAAUCUUUUUUAUGAACACCUAAGGAAUACAUUAGUGACGCUGAACAACAAAGGUCACGAAGUUGUACUAAUAGGCGAUAUAAAUAUUAACUUUUUACAGUACAAUGCAAACAAUUUUACAUCCGAGUAUCUUGAUAUGAUUCUUGAAAUGGGAUCUAUGCCAUUGAUUACAAAACCUACUCGUAUAACCGACCAUACAGCAACAUUAAUAAACAUUAUACUAAUGUUCCGGAAAAAGUCAUCAAUGCCGGAAUUUGUACAGCUGACAUAACUGACCACUUGCCCGGUAUUUUGCACAAUAGCCAACAAACUGCCUGAAAUAGAUCGUAUUCAGUAUUCUAGAGACUUUUCAAAUUUUAAUAAAGAUAUGUUUCUUAAUGACAUUCAAAAUAUUAAUUUCCCCAACCUGAUUAGUGAAGAGGAUGUUAAUGUUAGUAUGAAUAAUAUUAUAGACAUACUUCAGGACAUCACUGAUAAGCAUGCUCCGGUGGUAUGUAGGUUAUCGAAUAAAAAAAGAAAAAGGAAAAAUAAACCAUGGAUAACAAACGUAAUAUUAGUCUCCAUAAAGCACAAACAAAAACUGUUUAAAACGCAUUAUUUAACUAAUGAUCCCAUCAAAGUAAGAAAGUAUAAAACCUACAGUAAUAAAUUAAACAAAUUAAAAGAAAUUGCUAGAAAGAAUUAUUUUAAAAAUAAAUUUGCACUUAAUAGUGGAAACAUGAAAGCAACCUGGAAGAUAAUAGGGAUGGUUAUAAA